AGAAGCCCAAAUGUUAUAUUAACUGCAUUAUGAAAAUAUAUUUCUUUGCAGACUUGAAGAGCACGAAACUGUGAAGAUCACCCAUCAACGAUUUGAAAAAGCAGUAAAGCAACAACUACAGCCAGAUGCUUCAUGGAAGAUAUGCUGUGUGCGUGUUCUUGGAAAUGCAGACUGCUAUGGAGAAGCACGA
Xiphophorus maculatus (southern platyfish) is the source of this 190-nucleotide long non-coding RNA. RefSeq lists it as uncharacterized. NCBI's taxonomy places the organism in Eukaryota, Metazoa, Chordata, Actinopteri, Cyprinodontiformes, Poeciliidae. The transcript is spliced from 3 exons. The record is from RefSeq and is a predicted model, not a curated record.